Molecule: long non-coding RNA, 1955 nt
Organism: Antechinus flavipes (yellow-footed antechinus)
Lineage: Eukaryota; Metazoa; Chordata; Mammalia; Dasyuromorphia; Dasyuridae
Exons: 5
Source: RefSeq, a predicted model, not a curated record
UUCCAGUACUGGUCACAAAAGGCAAGUGUUGCUAGUUACCGUCACUAAGGCCGGAACUUGCCAGAUUCAUCCAGUUCUUUGGUGCCACAAUUCCCUCCUAAAGCCCAGUGUUGUGCAGGAAACUUUUCAUCAGUGUGAACUAUUCAGUUUGCUACUCUGGGACCUUGUUGGCCUGAAUGCACACCCAUCUCAAGUAAAUGACAGACCAGGCAGAUGCUUCAGUCAAGUCAGUGCCAGCCUGUGAUCUCUCACUGAACCCCUUGAGCCUGGUGAAAGCACUUCUCAUGUUAAAGAAAAAAUGGUCAGUGGGAAUAUGCCAACCUGGGAUCUCUCAGCGGAGCCUCUGGAGAGAGAAAUGGACAGCAAGAGAGAAUGAGAAAGAGAAAAGAAACAAGAGCCAUUCAGCAGAAGAAUGAUGUCUUGUUCUGCUUUUGAACACCAAGUGUCAAUAAGAUGGCUUCAGGAAGUAUGGGUCCCCUUACAGUAAUUCUGCUCUCAUUGGUUUCAUUUACACUUUAAAAUUCAAGUUUCUACUAAGAAUUUUUCAUCCAUGCUUUAUCUGUGCUACCUACUUAAAUUGUGGUCAGCAUGUAGUUCCCAGAACAUCACCUUUUACUUAUAUGGGACCUUGUAAGGAAAGGGUGUGGUUCUGGGAACUACAUUUUUCUAUCACUUCUUCUUUAUUUUCCAUAUCCAUUUGAAAUAAUGGUAUACCUGAGGUCCCCUUAACAUUUUUAAGAUAAAAGUGGUCACCGGGGGAAAAAUACAAGCUUAGGCCUUUACAACUUAGUAACAUUUUGUUCCAAUAUAUGUCAUUAUUAUAGGAAGUAGAAUGAAAUGGAUAGUGGUUGAAAAUGAAAAAAGAUUAAGAGAAAAAAAACAAGGGAUAUUCAUCAGAAGGAGGAUGUAAGGGGGGAAAAGAGGGAGGAAUGGAAGGGAGGCAUGAAGGAAGAAAAAGAAGGAAGGAAGAAAGGAUAAAAAGCGAAGGAAAAAUGAAAAAGGAAGGAAAAGCUGAUGACUGAAUUCUCAUCAAUGGAGCUGGAUGAAUGCACUUCUCAAGUCAUUAAAAAUGGUCAUUGAGAAUAUCUGAGUCACUGCCAGCCUCAUAGCUCCCAUUGGACCCCCUGGUGAGUAAAAAAGGUGGCACCCUGCUGGGUAGGAAAGGUGGCUCUGAGUAAAAAUGGGAGAAAAUUCCAUUUUUCUAAAAAUGGGACAGAGACUAAUGUCUCUGAUAUAUGCACUGAUCCUGACUCCUCUGUUCCUUUAAAUUCCAGAUCUCCUUUACCAGUUGAGCACCAUGUGUCAAUAAGGACCAAGACCAUCCUUAAGUAUGAGUCACAUCCCAGUCAUCCUCUUCUCUUUGGCUUGAUUUAACUUUUAAAAUCCAAACUUGUGUUAGGACAUAUUCAUCAAUACCUUUACCGGUGGUGGUGAAAUCCUUAUGCUCAUCAUUCCCCAUGGUGCUUUGUAAGUAAAUGUUAUGUUUCAGAAAAAAUGUAUUUUACUAUCAGGUAUUGAAACGUUUGCAUACUGAUUUCAUACAAUGGUAAAACUGGAGUCCUCAAAAAAUCUUUAUGACUAAAGUGGUCACCAGAGGAAAAACUUCAGGAACCUUCCCUCUUUAAAAUUUGUAAUAUUUUGACCAAGUAUAUGUCAGUUCUAUGAGAAAAGGAGUGCAAUGGAUUAUGAUAGAGAAACAAAAAGGGACAAAGAAAAAGAAAAGGGGAUAUUAGCAGAAGAAAGAUGUAAUGGGGGACAUGGGGAGAUAGGAGUAACAAACAAGAAAGGAGGGAAGAAAGGAAAGAAAGAUAUAAAGGGAAGGAAAAAUAAAAAGUGCUGGAAAAACUAAUCAGACUGAUUGAAUUCUCAUCAUGAGAGCAGGGUGAAAUCAAUUCUUGCGUUGAUCCAAAAAUAAUCAGGAGAAGCCUCCAAGUCACUGACAAGCCACUGAUCUC